Molecule: ribosomal RNA, 406 nt
Filed under: uncultured bacterium
Lineage: Bacteria
Description: partial 16S ribosomal RNA
Rfam family: Bacterial small subunit ribosomal RNA
Source: RNAcentral
AUUGAACGCUGGCGGCAGGCCUAACACAUGCAAGUCGAGCGAGCGGCGGACGGGUGAGUAAUGUAUGGGGAACUGCCCGAUGGAGGGGGAUAACUACUGGAAACGGUAGCUAAUACCGCAUACUAUCAGAUGAGCCUCGCUGGGAGUAGCUAGUUGGUGGGGUAAAGGCCUACCAAGGCGACGAUCCGUAACUGGUCUGAGAGGAUGAUCAGUCACACUGGAACUGAGACACGGUCCAGACUCCUACGGGAGGCAGCAGUGGGGAAUAUUGGACAAUGGGCGCAAGCCUGAUGCAGCCAUGCCGCGUGUAUGAAGAAGGCCUUCGGGUUGUAAAGUACUUUCAGUGGGGAGGCGUUACCGACAGAAGAAGCACCGGCUAACUCCGUGCCAGCAGCCGCGGUAAUUC